This 29-nucleotide ribosomal RNA is filed under the name Peltigera canina. Its description in RNAcentral is "partial 18S ribosomal RNA". Lineage: Eukaryota; Fungi; Ascomycota; Lecanoromycetes; Peltigerales; Peltigeraceae. The record is from RNAcentral.
ACGAGGGCGUGUGGGGCUUAAUAUCCCCC